This 76-nucleotide transfer RNA is filed under the name Tropicimonas omnivorans. RNAcentral's name for it is "tRNA-Ala". It matches the Rfam family "tRNA". From Rfam's summary of the family: Transfer RNA (tRNA) molecules are approximately 80 nucleotides in length. The record is from RNAcentral. Lineage: Bacteria; Pseudomonadati; Pseudomonadota; Alphaproteobacteria; Rhodobacterales; Roseobacteraceae. RNAcentral also lists the same sequence under 1 other name.
GGGGCCUUAGCUCAGUUGGGAGAGCGCGUCGUUCGCAAUGACGAGGUCAGGGGUUCGACCCCCCUAGGCUCCACCA